AUUGAACGCUGGCGGCAGGCCUAACACAUGCAAGUCGAACGAGUGGCGGACGGGUGAGUAAUGUCUGGGAAACUGCCUGAUGGAGGGGGAUAACUACUGGAAACGGUAGCUAAUACCGCAUACCAUCAGAUGUGCCCAGAUGGGAUUAGCGCGUUGGUGGGGUAACGGCUCACCAAGGCGACGAUCCCUAGCUGGUCUGAGAGGAUGACGAGCCACACUGGAACUGAGACACGGUCCGUACUCCUACGGGAGGCAGCAGUGGGGAAUAUUGCAAAAGGGGCGCAAGCCUGAUGCAGCCAUGCCGCGGGUAUGAAGAAGGCCUUCGGGUUGUAAAGUACUUUCAGCGGGGAGGCGUUACCCGAAGAAGAAGCACCGGCUAACUCCGUGCCAGCAGCCGCGGUAAUUC
RNAcentral lists this ribosomal RNA (406 nucleotides) under uncultured bacterium. RNAcentral's name for it is "partial 16S ribosomal RNA". It matches the Rfam family "Bacterial small subunit ribosomal RNA", at positions 30 to 526 of the family's 1533-position model. The record is from RNAcentral.